CACCGCCUCGUCCGCCGCCAUCGUGCUCGGUGCGUUUCUCAGUUCCCGCCCUUGUCGCCAUCUCCUUUUUCUCUCUCAGUGUGUUUUUGUUGCUUUUGGAUUUCUGGGUGCCGCGCUUGGUCUCACCUGAAUGUGUUCGAGGAAGUCCCUUGUCUGCUCGAUGAAAUGCGGCCACUGAAUCGUGGAUGUCUGUGCUUUAUUUUGCCCAGAUCUAUCGCUAUGUCUGUAGGGAAUGGGAUGGAUGGGUAGUGGAAUGAAUCAGGAGCAGAGGACAGUGCGCUUCUCCUCUGUUUUGCUGGUACUAAUGAUAGACAUUUUAUGCUAGUGAUAAGAUGAUGAUAGAUUUGGGGAGAGAUGUUUUUUCACUGGUGGAAAGAUGGUGCUGGAAGGGGCAGGGGUCACGGCACCAGAGAAGUCAGCCUCUCAACUUAAAUUGAAGAGCAGAUUACACUCUAGCUCACUUAACAUAUUGAACAAGUUGUCAAAUAUGCCACCAUCCUUUUAAUUUGCACAUCUGGAUCACUAAACUUAAUUAAAGGGGUGGCUGCACAUAAUAACCUUUGAUGGGUGUGUCAGCGAAUUAGCUUAGUUAUGUAUGGAGCAAUGGCGGAGCUCAGAUGAGAAUGUUGAGGGGGCUAAGCUGACAAGACAUGCUUAAAAUUUGAGAAUUUUUGAGCAUUAUCUGAUAUCUAAGUUGUAUUAUAAAGGAUAUAGUUAGACGGUGUGAUGUCUAGUUGUUUGGCUCAAUUAUGAAUGCAAUUGAUUAAUCAUGGGCUCAUCUUGUGUUGGGUGAGAAGAGCUUAAAGGAAAGAUGAAUGCUGUAUACUUUUUGAGCAUUUCGGUUGGUGUUUCCUUUGCAGAAAUUUUCCACCACUGCGCACGGCAAGAACUGACAGGUCACCGCCUCAUUCGCCACCAUUGUGCUUGGUGCGUUACUCAGUUCCCACCCUUGUAGUCAUACUGAAGUGUGUCAAACAUGUUGCCAUCCUUUUAAUGGACACAUCUAGAUCUCUAAACUAAAUUAAAUGGGUGACUGCGCAUAAAAAUCAUGAUGGGUGUGCCAGCAACUUAGCUGUGGUGGAGCUUGAAGGAUAAUCCUGAGGGGGCUAAGCUGAUAAGACAUGCUUAAAAUUUGAGAUUUAUUUUACUCCCUCCAAUCUGAAUUAAUUGACGCAACUCUAUACAUUAUCUUACUUACAUUGUGUAGAGAUUGCGUCAAUUAAUUUGGAUUGGAGGGAGUAGCACUAUUUGAUAUCUAAGUUGUAUUCUACAGGGUAUAGUUAGGCAGUGUGCUGUAGUUGUUUGGCUUAAUCACGAAUGCAACUUAUCAUUGGUUCAUGUUGCUUUGGGCGAGAAGAGCUUAAAGGAAAGAUGCAUGCCUGUAUACUUUUUGAGCAUUUCAGUUGGUGUUUCUUUUGCAGAAAUUUCCCACCACUGUGUGCUGUGAGAAUCAGCAGGUCACCGCCUCAUCCGCUGCCAUCAUACCCGGUGUGUUUCUUGCUUCCGUCCAACCUUUUUCUCUCUUAGGGUGUUUUUGUUUCUUUUGGAUUUCUGGUGCCAUGCCUGUUCUUGCCUGGAUACUUGCGAGGAAGUCCCUCACCUGCUCGGUGAAUGCUGUGACCGAAUUGGGCACAAAUGUUGGUUAAUUUCGCUCCAAUAUACCGAUGUCUAUAGGGAAUGGGUGGGUAAUGAAACGAAUCAGGAACAGAGGGCCAUGCACUCUUCUUUUUGUUUUGGUGGUACUAAUGAUAGACCUUCUGUAGUUAAGAUGAUGGUGGAUUUUGGGAGCGAUUGUUUCUCAGUGAAAAGAAAUUGAUGUGGGAAGGGGAAGGAAUCUUGGCAAUAGACGAGUCAGCGUCUCAGCUUAAUUAAAGAGCAGAUUACACUCUAGGCUACUUAGCAUAUUAAAGUGUGUCAAAUAUGUCACCAUCCUUGUAAUUUGCACAUCUAGAUCACUAAAUUAAAUUAAAUGGUUGACUGCACGUAACAGCCAUGCCAUGUUGAAUGGGUGUGUCAGCAACUUGGCAUAGUUACGUAUGGAGCAUGGGAGUGCCCUUGCAUGCCUUGUUUUUUUUCUAUUCAACCUAUGACAAUAUGCUGUGUGCUGUAGUUGUUUGGCUCGUUUGUGAUGAAACUUACCAUGAGUUCAUGUUGCUUUAGGCAAGAAGAGCAUAAAGGAAACAUGCGUGCUGUAUACUUUUUGAGCAUUUCAGUUGGUGUUCCCUUUGCAGAAAUUUCCCACCACUGCGUGCUGCAAGAAUCAGCAGGUCACCGCCUCAUCUGCUGCCAUCAUGCCCGGUACGUUUCUCGCUUCCCACCCUCUUUCUCUCUCAGCAUGCUUUUGUUUCUUUUGGAUUUCUGGGCGCUGUGCCUGUUCUUGCCUGGAUACUUGCGAGGAAGUCCCUCAGCUGCGCAACGAAAUGCUGUGACCGAGUCAGGCACUUGUGUUGGCUUAUUUCACUCCAAUAAACUGAUAUGUAUGUAGGGAAUGGAUGGGUAAUGAAACAAAUCAGGAACAGAGUACGAUACACUCUUCUUUUGUUUUGGUGGUACUAAUGCUAGACCUUUUGUAGUUAAAAACUUAGAUGAUGGUGGAUUUGGGGAGAGAUUGUUUCUCAGUGACAAAAUGAUGUGAGAUGGGGAAGGGAUCUUUGAAAAUAGAGGGUUAUUUGGCUAGAAUCAAGGAGAUAGGGUGAUCAUGGAAUUAGAACAGGUUUUUAUUCAGUGGUGGCCACAUAUGGCCAUAUGGGUAUACGGGAAGUUUAAGAAUGCAGAACAGACAUGGGCUUCCACACAUAACUACUCUGACUCACUCAUCUGAUGUGGUGUGGUAAUGAUGACAUGGCAUGUUGGUGAUGUUGAGUGACUCGCUUAAUUUAGUUUAGUGACCCAGAGGUGCACAUUUAGAGAACAGUAACCUAUAUGACACACUUGAACAAGUCUGGUUAGCUAAAGAGUAAUUUACUCUUAUUAUAUAAAGAGGUUGCCUCCAUGUCUCGACCCUUGUUUUUUGGGAGUUCUUUGGGUUUUCACUGUGGUAAAAGAUGUACUAAAACUUUAGAACAGCUGGAUGAUUAAUAUUUGGAUAAAAAGAAGUUUACAAUGUCAUUGGACAUUUACAGGCUCCUCAUUCGAUUUGUGUAAAGCUUAGCCUAAAUAUAUUCAAAGUACUACAUGAUCAUCAAUUGCUAUUUAAGCAUGAUUUGCACCUCUAUUGGCAUACUUACGCAAGUUCAGAGACACAAUGACAUGCUACACAAGUCUAGACACUUAUCACCUAUGAGGCUAUGACAUGCUCAUUCUCAAGACACAAGUCAGCGAAUUAGCUUAGUUAUGUAUGGAGCAAUGGCGGAGCUCAGAUGAGAAUGUUGAGGGGGCUAAGCUGACAAGACAUGCUUAAAAUUUGAGAAUUUUUGAGCAUUAUCUGAUAUCUAAGUUGUAUUAUAAAGGAUAUAGUUAGACGGUGUGAUGUCUAGUUGUUUGGCUCAAUUAUGAAUGCAAUUGAUUAAUCAUGGGCUCAUCUUGUGUUGGGUGAGAAGAGCUUAAAGGAAAGAUGAAUGCUGUAUACUUUUUGAGCAUUUCGGUUGGUGUUUCCUUUGCAGAAAUUUUCCACCACUGCGCACGGCAAGAACUGACAGGUCACCGCCUCAUUCGCCACCAUUGUGCUUGGUGCGUUACUCAGUUCCCACCCUUGUAGUCAUACUGAAGUGUGUCAAACAUGUUGCCAUCCUUUUAAUGGACACAUCUAGAUCUCUAAACUAAAUUAAAUGGGUGACUGCGCAUAAAAAUCAUGAUGGGUGUGCCAGCAACUUAGCUGUGGUGGAGCUUGAAGGAUAAUCCUGAGGGGGCUAAGCUGAUAAGACAUGCUUAAAAUUUGAGAUUUAUUUUACUCCCUCCAAUCUGAAUUAAUUGACGCAACUCUAUACAUUAUCUUACUUACAUUGUGUAGAGAUUGCGUCAAUUAAUUUGGAUUGGAGGGAGUAGCACUAUUUGAUAUCUAAGUUGUAUUCUACAGGGUAUAGUUAGGCAGUGUGCUGUAGUUGUUUGGCUUAAUCACGAAUGCAACUUAUCAUUGGUUCAUGUUGCUUUGGGCGAGAAGAGCUUAAAGGAAAGAUGCAUGCCUGUAUACUUUUUGAGCAUUUCAGUUGGUGUUUCUUUUGCAGAAAUUUCCCACCACUGUGUGCUGUGAGAAUCAGCAGGUCACCGCCUCAUCCGCUGCCAUCAUACCCG
This 4230-nucleotide long non-coding RNA is filed under the name Triticum aestivum (bread wheat). Its description in RNAcentral is "long non-coding RNA (TAES_LNC000367)". Lineage: Eukaryota; Viridiplantae; Streptophyta; Magnoliopsida; Poales; Poaceae. The record is from RNAcentral.